AGAGUUUGAUCAUGGCUCAGAACGAACGCUGGCGGCAGGCUUAACACAUGCAAGUCGAGCGCCCCGCAAGGGGAGCGGCAGACGGGUGAGUAACGCGUGGGAAUCUACCCAUCUCUACGGAACAACUCCGGGAAACUGGAGCUAAUACCGUAUACGUCCUUUUGGAGAAAGAUUUAUCGGAGAUGGAUGAGCCCGCGUUGGAUUAGCUAGUUGGUGGGGUAAUGGCCUACCAAGGCGACGAUCCAUAGCUGGUCUGAGAGGAUGAUCAGCCACAUUGGGACUGAGACACGGCCCAAACUCCUACGGGAGGCAGCAGUGGGGAAUAUUGGACAAUGGGCGCAAGCCUGAUCCAGCCAUGCCGCGUGAGUGAUGAAGGCCCUAGGGUUGUAAAGCUCUUUCAACGGUGAAGAUAAUGACGGUAACCGUAGAAGAAGCCCCGGCUAACUUCGUGCCAGCAGCCGCGGUAAUACGAAGGGGGCUAGCGUUGUUCGGAAUUACUGGGCGUAAAGCGCACGUAGGCGGAUAUUUAAGUCAGGGGUGAAAUCCCGGGGCUCAACCCCGGAACUGCCUUUGAUACUGGGUAUCUCGAGUCCGAGAGAGGUGAGUGGAAUUCCGAGUGUAGAGGUGAAAUUCGUAGAUAUUCGGAGGAACACCAGUGGCGAAGGCGGCUCACUGGCUCGGUACUGACGCUGAGGUGCGAAAGCGUGGGGAGCAAACAGGAUUAGAUACCCCGGUAGUCC
RNAcentral lists this ribosomal RNA (740 nucleotides) under uncultured Mesorhizobium sp. RNAcentral's name for it is "bacterial SSU rRNA". It matches the Rfam family "Bacterial small subunit ribosomal RNA", at positions 8 to 796 of the family's 1533-position model. The record is from RNAcentral. Lineage: Bacteria; Pseudomonadati; Pseudomonadota; Alphaproteobacteria; Hyphomicrobiales; Phyllobacteriaceae.